GACGAACGCUGGCGGCGUGCUUAACACAUGCAAGUCGAACGGAAAGGCCCUGCUUUUGUUGGGUGCUCGAGUGGCGAACGGGUGAGUAACACGUGAGUAACCUGCCCUUGACUUUGGGAUAACUUCAGGAAACUGGGGCUAAUACCGGAUAGGAGCUCCUGCUGCAUGGUGGGGGUUGGAAAGUGUCGGCGGUUGGGGAUGGACUCGCGGCUUAUCAGCUUGAUGGUGGGGUAGUGGCUUACCAAGGCUUUGACGGGUAGCCGGCCUGAGAGGGUGAACGGCCACAUUGGGACUGAGAUACGGCCCAGACUCCUACGGGAGGCAGCAGUGGGGAAUAUUGCACAAUGGGCGGAAGCCUGAUGCAGCAACGCCGCGUGCGGGAUGACGGCCUUCGGGUUGUAAACCGCUUUCGCCUGUGACGAAGCGUGAGUGACGGUAAUGGGUAAAGAAGCACCGGCUAACUACGUG
This 468-nucleotide ribosomal RNA is filed under the name uncultured bacterium. RNAcentral describes it as "partial 16S ribosomal RNA". It matches the Rfam family "Bacterial small subunit ribosomal RNA", at positions 28 to 507 of the family's 1533-position model. The record is from RNAcentral.